RNAcentral lists this ribosomal RNA (1005 nucleotides) under Bacillus sp. Asim-S7C2. Its description in RNAcentral is "bacterial SSU rRNA". It matches the Rfam family "Bacterial small subunit ribosomal RNA", at positions 533 to 1533 of the family's 1533-position model. The record is from RNAcentral. Lineage: Bacteria; Bacillati; Bacillota; Bacilli; Caryophanales; Bacillaceae.
GGGGACGUUUCUCCGGCAUAUUCGGGCGUAAGGGCUCGCAGGCGGUUUCUUAAGUCUGAUGUGAAAGCCCCCGGCUCAACCGGGGAGGGUCAUUGGAAACUGGGAAACUUGAGUGCAGAAGAGGAGAGAGGAAUUCCACGUGUAGCGGUGAAAUGCGUAGAGAUGUGGAGGAACACCAGUGGCGAAGGCGACUCUCUGGUCUGUAACUGACGCUGAGGAGCGAAAGCGUGGGGAGCGAACAGGAUUAGAUACCCUGGUAGUCCACGCCGUAAACGAUGAGUGCUAAGUGUUAGGGGGUUUCCGCCCCUUAGUGCUGCAGCUAACGCAUUAAGCACUCCGCCUGGGGAGUACGGUCGCAAGACUGAAACUCAAAGGAAUUGACGGGGGCCCGCACAAGCGGUGGAGCAUGUGGUUUAAUUCGAAGCAACGCGAAGAACCUUACCAGGUCUUGACAUCCUCUGACAACCCUAGAGAUAGGGCUUUCCCUUCGGGGACAGAGUGACAGGUGGUGCAUGGUUGUCGUCAGCUCGUGUCGUGAGAUGUUGGGUUAAGUCCCGCAACGAGCGCAACCCUUGAUCUUAGUUGCCAGCAUUCAGUUGGGCACUCUAAGGUGACUGCCGGUGACAAACCGGAGGAAGGUGGGGAUGACGUCAAAUCAUCAUGCCCCUUAUGACCUGGGCUACACACGUGCUACAAUGGACAGAACAAAGGGCUGCGAGACCGCAAGGUUUAGCCAAUCCCACAAAUCUGUUCUCAGUUCGGAUCGCAGUCUGCAACUCGACUGCGUGAAGCUGGAAUCGCUAGUAAUCGCGGAUCACAUGCCGGGGGAAAAACCUUUCCGGGGCCUUUGUACACACCGCCCGUCACACCACGAGAGUUUGCAACACCCGAAGUCGGUGAGGUAACCUUUAUGGAGCCAGCCGCCGAAGGUGGGGCAGAUGAUUGGGUGAUUAAAAAAAAACCCCCCCACACACAACACCAAAAAGGACGAGGAGGGGGAGGGGG